Molecule: ribosomal RNA, 497 nt
Filed under: uncultured bacterium
Lineage: Bacteria
Description: partial 16S ribosomal RNA
Rfam family: Bacterial small subunit ribosomal RNA
Source: RNAcentral
GAUGAACGCUGGCGGCGUGCCUAAUACAUGCAAGUCGAGCGAACGGACGAGAAGCUUGCUUCUCUGAUGUUAGCGGCGGACGUGUGAGUAACACGUGGAUAACCUACCUAUAAGACUGGGAUAACUUCGGGAAACCGGAUCUAAUACCGGAUGAUAUUUUGAACCGCAUGGUUCAAAAGUGAAAGACGGUCUUGCUGUCACUUAUAGAUGGAUCCGCGCUGCAUUAGCUAGUUGGUAAGGUAACGGCUUACCAAGGCAACGAUGCAUAGCCGACCUGAGAGGGGGAUAGGCGACACGGGAGCGGAGACACGGUCCAGACUCCUACGGGAGGCAGCAGUAGGGAAUCUUCCGCAAUGGGCGAAAGCCUGACGGAGCAAGGCCGCGUGAGUGAUGAAGGCCUUCGGAUCGUAAAAAUCUGUUAUGAGGGAAGAACAUAUGUGUAAGGAACUGUGCACAUCGUGACGGUACCUAAUCAGAAAGCAACGGCUAACUACGUG